UACGAAGGGGGCUAGCGUUGUUCGGAAUCACUGGGCGUAAAGGGCGCGUAGGCGGCUUUAUAAGUCGGGGGUGAAAGCCUGUGGCUCAACCACAGAAUUGCCUUCGAUACUGUAGGGCUUGAGACCGGAAGAGGUUAGUGGAACUGCGAGUGUAGAGGUGAAAUUCGUAGAUAUUCGCAAGAACACCAGUGGCGAAGGCGGCUCACUGGCCCGUAACUGACGCUGAGGCACGAAAGCGUGGGGAGCAAACAGG
Molecule: ribosomal RNA, 253 nt
Filed under: uncultured bacterium
Lineage: Bacteria
Description: partial 16S ribosomal RNA
Rfam family: Bacterial small subunit ribosomal RNA
Source: RNAcentral